This 87-nucleotide transfer RNA is filed under the name Chloroflexota bacterium. RNAcentral describes it as "Chloroflexi bacterium tRNA-Leu". It matches the Rfam family "tRNA". Rfam says of the family: Transfer RNA (tRNA) molecules are approximately 80 nucleotides in length. Their secondary structure includes four short double-helical elements and three loops (D, anti-codon, and T loops). Lineage: Bacteria; Bacillati; Chloroflexota. The record is from RNAcentral.
GCGGCGGUGGCGUAACUGGCAGACGCGAUAGGCCCAAACCCUAUUGUCCGAGAGGACGUGUGGGUUCGACUCCCACCCGCCGCACUA